Molecule: unclassified non-coding RNA, 23 nt
Filed under: synthetic construct
Source: RNAcentral
GGCCUAAGACUUCGGUUAUGGCC